Non-coding RNA from Leptonychotes weddellii (Weddell seal), 273 nucleotides. The record is from RefSeq and is a predicted model, not a curated record. NCBI's taxonomy places the organism in Eukaryota, Metazoa, Chordata, Mammalia, Carnivora, Phocidae.
CUCAUGUUCUGAGGGAGCCUGUGUGUUUAGGGGGAUGUGAGCACAUCUUCUGUAGCUGAUGGACUCACUUUGUAUAAUAUAUCAGUGACAAAUCUGCUGGAGCAUAACCAACUCCAUGAAAUUUAAUUGCGUAAGUGACUGCAUUGGAACCGGAUGUCCAGUGUGUUAUACCCCAGCCUGGAUACAAGAUGUGAAGAUAAAUAGACAAUUGGACAGCAUGAUCCAGCUUUGUAGUAAGCUUCGGAAUUUGCUACAUGAUGAUAAGCUUUCAGG